This 1554-nucleotide ribosomal RNA is filed under the name Triticum aestivum (bread wheat). Its description in RNAcentral is "partial small subunit ribosomal RNA". Lineage: Eukaryota; Viridiplantae; Streptophyta; Magnoliopsida; Poales; Poaceae. The record is from RNAcentral.
CUACACUUCGACGGUCUUCUGGUUGAGCGCCGUGUACCUCCACCUCUCCUUCUCCACGAAGUCGGCGUCCAAGAACUUGGCCACGAACGCCCACAGCUUGUACGCGUCCUCGAAGUUGCUCAAGAACCCCAGCGACGCAUUCACCACGUGGAUCCCCGCCUCGCCGCCGCCGUCGCUUGCCUGCUCAAGGACGGCGCUCCUGUCGGCCUCGUACUUGUCGGUGAACCAGAUGUUGCGCAGGAAGCCGCAGGUGAGGGAGAUGCCCUGCCGGUCGGCAAGCUUCUGCACCAGCGCCGGCGCCACCUUCUCCCCCUUCCAGUCGUACACGUUGAACGCCAGCGAGGGCCCCCGCUCGAACUUGACGCGCGGUCCGUACACCCGCACCAGCUGCUUCCCGCCGCCGUGCUCCGGGUGCGGGUGCCGCAGCUUCUGCAUCGCCACCACCAGCCAGUUGCUGAUGCACCGCAGCCGGUUGCCGAUGGCGAUGAGGCCCAGCGCGUCCGCGUGGUCCAGCCCCCUGCACUCCACCUCCAGCAUGCGCUCCUCCUCUGCUUCGACUGCUGCCGGCGCCGGCCAUGGCCGAGUGUCUUCUUCGGCUUCGGAUGGCCUACGGUCCACCUCGCAAAUUUCGGGCGUGUCGCCGUUCUCGGCCUCGUCGGUCCUGCGACCGGUGGCGGUGGCGCUGAGCGGACCGGAAAAGGAGCAGGUGGUAUCAACAUCGUCCGCCGUUGGCGGGUCGGCCGCUUUGGGGAAGGUGAGCGAGUGCUCCAGGUCGGUGGAAUAGUCGUCGCGGAGCGACCACCGCCGCGCCGGAACGAUGCUGACGAUGCCGAUGCUGCGCGCGACCGCGGAGCGCUCGAGCGCGCCGACGCUGGCCUUCUUGACGAACAGCCCGGCGAAGCCCGAGGGGUUCUCGCCGAACACCUUGAAGAAGUUGCAGACGAUGAAGUCCGGGCGGAGGAGGGAGAGGCCGAGGGUGUCGAGGUCCUUGGCGCCGAGCGCGCACGCGUCCAGCGCCACGUGCCACCCCUGCUCCGCGGCGGCGCUCAUCCAGAGGUACGGGUACCUCGCGCCGGUCAUCCGGGACACCAGCGGAAACACGAAGAGGCCGCGGCCGCGCUGCCGCCGCCGCCCACGGAGCAGCUUCUUGCGGAGGUCUGCGGCGUGGACGCGCAUGCUCGGCCACGCGAAGCUCGCGUUCAUGACCUCCGCGCCGCGGCUGCGCGCGCUCUGAGCCAUGGCACCCACCGCCUCGCUCUCGUAGUCGUACACGGAGAGCAGCUUCUUCCUGCCGCCGCCGGGAGUGAAGGAGUAGGACUCCGCCAGGAGCCGGAAGGCUGUGGUCCGGUUCGCCGUGCACACCAUGGUAUACUCGUCCUCGGGGAUCUUAAGGGACGCCAUGAUGCGCCUCGUAACGGCGCCGCUGAUGCCCCCCGCCGCGGAUGCCGCGGCAGUGCCGUCCCCGCAUUGCUGCACCUGCGACCGCAGGCUCGCGGACCUGUACGCGAUGUCGAAGAAGGGCGGCUGCCACGCCGAUGGCUCCGCCGGAGCUGA